UACCAGCACCCCGAGUGGUCGGGACGUUUAUUGGGCCUAAAGCAUCCGUAGCCGGUUCUACAAGUCUUCCGUUAAAUCCAGCUGCUUAACAGAUGGGCUGCGGAAGAUACUAUGGAGCUAGGAGGCGGGAGAGGCAAGCGGUACUCGAUGGGUAGGGGUAAAAUCCGUUGAUCCAUUGAAGACCACCAGUGGCGAAGGCGGCUUGCCAGAACGCGCUCGACGGUGAGGGGAUGAAAAGCUGGGGGGAGCAAACCGG
RNAcentral lists this ribosomal RNA (256 nucleotides) under uncultured bacterium. RNAcentral's name for it is "partial 16S ribosomal RNA". It matches the Rfam family "Archaeal small subunit ribosomal RNA", at positions 474 to 727 of the family's 1478-position model. The record is from RNAcentral.